This 572-nucleotide ribosomal RNA is filed under the name Notostomus elegans. RNAcentral describes it as "partial 16S ribosomal RNA". It matches the Rfam family "Bacterial large subunit ribosomal RNA", at positions 1796 to 2640 of the family's 2925-position model. Lineage: Eukaryota; Metazoa; Arthropoda; Malacostraca; Decapoda; Oplophoridae. The record is from RNAcentral.
UCGCCUGUUUAACAAAAACAUGUCUGUGUGGAAUUUAUGCAAAGUCUGGCCUGCCCACUGAGUAUUUGAAGGGCCGCGGUAACUUGACCGUGCGAAGGUAGCAUAAUCAAUAGUCUUUUAAUUGGAGGCUGGAAUGAAUGGUUGGACAAGGGGUAGUCUGUCUUUUGUGUAAAAAUUGAAUUUAACUUUUAAGUGAAAAGGCUUAAAUUUUCUAAAGGGACGAUAAGACCCUAUAAAACUUCAUAGAGUUUGAGAUACUUUUUAAAUUAGGGUGUAAUGAAAUUUAUUUUUGCUUUAUUACGUUGGGGCGACGAGGAUAUAAAUUGUAACUGUUUGUUGGUUAAAAUAAAAGUAUUUAGAGAGGUUGAUCCCUUAUUAUGGAUCAUAAGAAUAAGUUACUUUAGGGAUAACAGCGUAAUUUUUUCUGAGAGUUCUUAUCGACGAAAGUAGUUGCGACCUCGAUGUUGAAUUAAAGUUUUUCCAAGGUGCAGAAGCUUUGGUUGUGGGUCUGUUCGACCCUUAAAACUUUACAUGAUUUGAGUUCAAACCGGUGUGAGCCAGGUUGUUUUCUA